Saccostrea cuccullata (small rock oyster) is the source of this 1824-nucleotide long non-coding RNA. RefSeq lists it as uncharacterized. Lineage: Eukaryota; Metazoa; Mollusca; Bivalvia; Ostreida; Ostreidae. The transcript has 3 exons. The record is from RefSeq and is a predicted model, not a curated record.
ACUGCAAUAUACACAGUCGACUGGAAGAAAUCCUCGACCUCAGCAUACAUGAAGCCAUAGCAAGAAGCAGGAAAAGCCACAGCAGAGAUUGGAUGGAGCAUAAUUUUUUGUAUGUCUCGGCGCCUCUAUGGAUGUCAUAUUUAGAUCAGAUGCAAUCUGAGCCUUGUUCUGAAUUUCAAAAUCCCCUUUGACAACACCUGCACAGCUGAGGUAGUGUAAACUUAAAAAUUGAGGACAACCAAAGAAUCACCAAGAAAAGAUUAUCAAUUCAACUAACAUUGAUGAAUGAACCAAUGCAUUAUGUCAGAGGAAUCUAGCUGGAGCACCUAUUUAGCAGCCAGGACACAUAGAUGUACCUGUACAGUUGAUACAGAUAAUCUCAACGGCACAUUUCUAAAUGAUGGCCAAAAAAAUCUAAUAAAGACACUGUCAGUUUAAAACUUUUUGAAAGAAAUCCGGACCAGAAACAAAGGAUAUUGAUUUUUAAGCUCCUCCAAAUGUAAAGGGGGUUUUAUUGAAGCCAAGACCUGGAUACACCCAAGGAUAUUUAAUAUUACACCCCUUCAACAUAAAAUUUUGAAUUUUAGUUUGCCUAUCUAGUCAAGAACAUGGAUUUUUUGACAUUUGAUACACUUUAUAAUGUUAUAUUGACAUUUUUUCAAGAUUUCUUUACUGUAAACUAUGUACAUGUAUUUCAGCAAAAAGUACAUUUACAGAUGAUUUUUCAAAAAUUGCUUUAAAAAUACAAUUGAAAUAAUUAGAUCAUGUCUCAUAAAUGGUUAAUCACAGUUACCACAGAAACCAAUAUUUGUUUUAAAGAAGUUAGGUACCAAAAAAAAAAUGUUGUGUCUUUCAUUAUUUUAGCUAAUGGCCACUUAUACAGUUUUCUUCAUACAAACUAAUCACAUUGACUAAAUUGUAUAGGCAAAUACAAUAUUUUUGGAGAUGUUGUCAUGGUAACCAGAUACAAAUCACAAAAGCAUAUUUAAAAAUAUAUAUAUUUUCAUGCAUUUACAAUAAACUGUGAAAAUAAUACAUGUAUGUUAGUCAAUAAUUAUUUUGUAUUUCAUGGAGAUUUUGUAAAGUCAAUUUUUUUAAAAAAGCAUUUCCAGAACAAUUUGUUACCAUGGUUACAAAAAUUUAUGAGAAAUCCACUGGUUUUAUCUAAUAUUUGCAAGGUUUAGGAGAACAUUUUUUAUCUUAUAUUAUCAAUUUCUUUUGCUUGUGGUAUUUUUUCCACAACAUACUCUGAAAAUGAUAUUUUGGUAUUUUCUUGAAAAAUGAAUUUUUGUGAUAUUCUGUUGCCAUGGUUACAGAAUAUUUUUGAAAAACCCAUGGGUUUUGUUUUGUUUUAUUACAAUAAGGAUUGUGGUCUUUCUAUCCCACGCUUUCAGUUUUCUUUACCAUGUGGGAUUUUUUCUAACUAUGCUCUUAAAAAUGGUUAUUAUUGUGAAAAAUGAAUUUUUGUGACAUUUUGUUGCCAUGGUAACAGAAUAUUAUUUAAAAACCCAUGGGUUUUAUUUAAUUUUAUUGAAAUUAAGAAAGUGCUCUUUCUAUUCCACAUUAUCAGAUUUCUUUAACAUGUGGGAUUUUUUCUUACUAUGCUCCUAAAAACGGUUAUUAUUGUGAAAAAUGAUUUGUUGUGACAUUUCGUUGCCAUGGUAACAGAAUAUUUUUAAAAAACCCAUGGGUUUUAUUUAAUUUUAUUAAAAUUAAGAAUGUGCUCUUUCUAUCCCAUGUUAUCAGAUUUCUUUAACAUGCGGGCCUUUUUCUUAAUAUGCUUCUAAAAUAUGUUGGAUUUGAAGAAAUAUUGUGAAAAGUGAA